This 497-nucleotide ribosomal RNA is filed under the name uncultured bacterium. RNAcentral's name for it is "partial 16S ribosomal RNA". It matches the Rfam family "Bacterial small subunit ribosomal RNA", at positions 28 to 507 of the family's 1533-position model. The record is from RNAcentral.
GAUGAACGCUGGCGGCGUGCCUAAUACAUGCAAGUCGAGCGAACAGACGAGGAGCUUGCUCCUCUGACGUUAGCGGCGGACGGGUGAGUAACACGUGGAUAACCUACCUAUAAGACUGUGAUAACUUCGGGAAACCGGAGCUAAUACCGGAUAAUAUAUUGAACCGCAUGGUUCAAUAGUGAAAGACGGUUUUGCUGUCACUUAUAGAUGGAUCCGCGCCGCAUUAGCUAGUUGGUAAGGUAACGGCUUACCAAGGCAACGAUGCGUAGCCGACCUGAGAGGGUGAUCGGCCACACGGGAACUGAGACACGGUCCAGACUCCGACGGGAGGCAGCAGUAGGGAAUCUUACGCAAUGGGCGAAAGCCUGACGGAGCAACGCCGCGUGAGUGAUGAAGGUCUUCGGAUCGUAAAACUCUGUUAUUAGGGAAGAACAAAUGUGUAAGUAACUAUGCACGUAUUGACGGUACCUAAUCAGAAAGCCACGGCUAACUACGUG